GAUGAACGCUGGCGGCGUGCCUAAUACAUGCAAGUCGAGCGAACAGACGAGGAGCUUGCUCCUCUGACGUUAGCGGCGGACGGGUGAGUAACACGUGGAUACCCUACCUAUAAGACUGGGAUCACUUCGGGAAACCGGAGCUAAUACCGGAUAACAUGUUGCACCGCAUGGUUCAACAGUGAAAGACGGUCUUGCUGUCGCUUAUCGCUGCAUCUGCGCCGGAUUAGCUAGUUGGUAAGGUAACGGCCUAUCAAGGCUACGAUGCGUAGCCGACCUGAGAGGGUGGUCGGCGACACGGGAAGUGAAACGGGGUCCAGACUCCUGCGAGAGGCAGCAGUAGGGAAUGUUCGGCAGUGGUCGAAAGCCUGACGGAGCAACGCGGCGUGAGUGAAAAAAAUCUUCGGAGCGUAAAGCUCGGUUAUUGGGGAAGAACAAAUGUGUAAGGAGCUGUGCACGUCUUGACGGUACCUGAUAAGAAAGCCACGGCUAACUACGUG
RNAcentral lists this ribosomal RNA (497 nucleotides) under uncultured bacterium. RNAcentral describes it as "partial 16S ribosomal RNA". It matches the Rfam family "Bacterial small subunit ribosomal RNA", at positions 28 to 507 of the family's 1533-position model. The record is from RNAcentral.